Molecule: long non-coding RNA, 1054 nt
Organism: Ornithodoros turicata
Lineage: Eukaryota; Metazoa; Arthropoda; Arachnida; Ixodida; Argasidae
Exons: 2
Source: RefSeq, a predicted model, not a curated record
UUGGGGGACCUGUUCGGUGCGAUGGUAGCGGGGCACCGGAAACGGCUGCGGUUGCGGAAGUGCGCCUCUAUCUUUCCGAUGUGACACGGUGUGGCGCCACCUCCGGCCUGGUGCGCAUCCGUGUAAACGGUGGUGUAUCGUUUUUCCCUCCGAUUUCGACUCGAUUUGAUUCGCUCGUGUCGUAUUCAUGUAAAUACGGCUAGUGAGAACCCACGUAGGCUCCAUGUGUGCGUCCUGUUGAGCAUAGUAGACGGAUAUACGCAGCUAGGCUGGUGUGCGUGAAAGCAGACCGCGGGUGGAAGCGACUUCGCGGCGAGAUCACGUGAUAGAGCCGAGUCACGUGGGGCUCCCGUGAUGGAGUGUAAAAGGUGUGCCCCUUCGUACACUUCUCUCAUUCCCACUGUUACUCCUCUUUCAUACCGCACACGGUGAUCGCCAGGAGCCUUAUGUCUGGGCAGAUGCAGUGUAAUGUCUAUCUCUACAACCGAGACUUGGAUAAAAAUGCGGGAGAUCCUCUGCGCCGCACAGCGGCUUGGGUUCAGCACAAGAUACCGUCCCCUUCGAAGUCGAGGCCGAUUCAGCACUGGGAGGUCUACUUUGUUUUUCCUGACAAGACAGUUGUACGGUGUGAUGGAGAGGAAGACCCUACCACUCACAAACUGCGUGGGGAUGCAAAGGUGAUAGAUUACAGCGACGUGGAGCCUUUCCUCAAAUACAUGAAACUACUGAAGUCUGGUGCCUCUACCUCGAAAGAAGCUAUCAGAGAAACGGUGGACGUCAUGAACCUGAAUUGCAAGAAGUAUGACGCUGUCUCCAACAACUGCCAGCACUGGGUCAAAACGCUGCUCGGAAAGCUGAAUAUACCAGUGUAUUACUUUGAUCUAAAACAAUGUGUUUCCUUUGUGGUUGCCGUAGGUAAAACCGCCACAGUUGCAGCUGUAGCCCUCCUUGGAGCUGCAGCUGCGGGUCCUUCGGCGGCUGUGGUAUCUGCAACUGCAGCAACAGCCUUUCUUUUUUAUCGUAAAUAAUAACAAUAAAGACGUUCAGUGCUUGC